Molecule: ribosomal RNA, 495 nt
Filed under: uncultured bacterium
Lineage: Bacteria
Description: partial 16S ribosomal RNA
Rfam family: Bacterial small subunit ribosomal RNA
Source: RNAcentral
GACGAACGCUGGCGGCGUGCCUAAUACAUGCAAGUAGAACGCUGAAGGAGGAGCUUGCUUCUCUGGAUGAGUUGCGAACGGGUGAGUAACGCGUAGGUAACCUGCCUGGUAGCGGGGGAUAACUAUUGGAAACGAUAGCUAAUACCGCAUAAGAGUAGAUGUCGCAUGACAUUUGCUUAAAAGGUGUAAUUGCAUCACUACCAGAUGGACCUGCGUUGUAUUAGCUAGUUGGUGAGGUAACGGCUCACCAAGGCAACGAUACAUAGCCGACCUGAGAGGGUGAUCGGCCACACUGGGACUGAGACACGGCCCAGACUCCUACGGGAGGCAGCAGUAGGGAAUCUUCGGCAAUGGACGGAAGUCUGACCGAGCAACGCCGCGUGAGUGAAGAAGGUUUUCGGAUCGUAAAGCUCUGUUGUAAGAGAAGAACGAGUGUGAGAGUGGAAAGUUCACACUGUGACGGUAUCUUACCAGAAAGGGACGGCUAACUACGUG